Long non-coding RNA from Melospiza melodia melodia, 346 nucleotides. RefSeq lists it as uncharacterized. Lineage: Eukaryota; Metazoa; Chordata; Aves; Passeriformes; Passerellidae. The transcript has 4 exons. The record is from RefSeq and is a predicted model, not a curated record.
UUACAGCAAGAAAUUGCAGUAUAAUGGAGCAGGAUGGAGGUUGUCAGGACUGUGAAGUGAAGGAAAAUGACUGAUUCAUGGACAUUUUAAAAAAAAUUGGCGGCAACAAAGUGAUGGAGUUAUUACCAGCUAAAAACUCUGUCUGCUGAUAUCCCACGUUGGAGCACCGCAUGUAUCUAUUCUAAAAUCAGAUGCGACACUGAAAAAGUAUUUGAGAGUGUUUCAACCCCAAGCAAAAAUCAUCUGAGAACUUUUGAGUGGGUUCUGUAUUAAACAACCAUCAGCCACUCUAUUUUGCCCCAGAGUUGAUGUCAACCUAAUAGACUUCUUAUUACUCAUGCAAGGU